RNAcentral lists this ribosomal RNA (468 nucleotides) under uncultured bacterium. Its description in RNAcentral is "partial 16S ribosomal RNA". It matches the Rfam family "Bacterial small subunit ribosomal RNA", at positions 28 to 507 of the family's 1533-position model. The record is from RNAcentral.
GACGAACGCUGGCGGCGUGCUUAACACAUGCAAGUCGAACGGAAAGGCCCUGCUUUUGUUGGGUGCUCGAGUGGCGAACGGGUGAGUAACACGUGAGUAACCUGCCCUUGACUUUGGGAUAACAUCAGGAAACUGGGGCUAAUACCGGAUAGGAGCUCCUGCUGCAUGGUGGGGGUUGGAAAGUUUCGGCGGUUGGGGAUGGACUCGCGGCUUAUCAGCUUGUUGGUGGGGUAGUGGCUUACCAAGGCUUUGACGGGUAGCCGGCCUGGGAGGGUGACCAGCCACAUGAGGACUGAGAGACGGCGCAGACGCGUACGGGAGGCAGCGGGGGGGAAUAUGGCAGAGCGGGGGGACGCCUGAUGCAGCAAUGCCGCGUGCGGGAUAACGGCUUUCGGGUUGUAAACCGCUUUCGCCUGUGACGUAGAGUGAGUGACGGUAAUGGGUAAAGAAGCACCGGCUAACUACGUG